RNAcentral lists this long non-coding RNA (873 nucleotides) under Gadus morhua (Atlantic cod). Its description in RNAcentral is "lncRNA (ENSGMOG00000034227.1)". Lineage: Eukaryota; Metazoa; Chordata; Actinopteri; Gadiformes; Gadidae. The record is from RNAcentral.
AUGAACAAUGUUUUGGUAGUGCCUAAAGAAAUUAUCACAACAUCACGUUUCUUCAGGGAAUACUUCAAGAUGAGGAGAACAUCCCAUGGGAAAACGGACUGGGUUGAUGUUCAGUGGAAAGGAGGAGUAAUGCCCCACCCAGUGCAAAGGGAUGGUUGCAGUUGUGGCGUUAUUGUUGUUGAAAUGGCCAGAGCAGUAAUGGGAGCCUUCCCUCAGUUGCCCCAAAUGCAAUUUGAAACCACCAGGAAAGCCAUGGGAGAAUCUAGGAGGAAUAUGGGUCUCCAAGUCCUUGAGGCAUCAGGUACAAUAACUUAAAUAAUGAAUAACUUAAAGGCACUCCACUUGAAUUCAGAUUAAAUGUAUUAUGCAAAUACACUUUCUUUCAGUCUUUGAUGAAGAGACAUGUGCAAUGUGUGGAGCUGACAGGCCCCCUGGAGAAGCACCUGCCAACACAAACUGGGUGAGUUGUUGUGAGCAGCAGUUCAAUGUGGAAUCGUGAUGUGACAUACAGUGUUAGUAGCAACUUACUAAGUUACUGUAAUAAAAUUACCCCAAUGGUUAACAGCACUUAUUCCUCCAUGAGUUAUAUGUAAUGCACUACCUUUCUUAAGUGACUUCACCGACGCUUGUGAUAUACCAGUUAAACUUAAGUGUUGCUACCAACUGACAAAAUCAUGUGCAUGAAUAAAUCAUGAAUUCAUUUUUUAAUCCAACAGAUCCAGUGUGAUAAAUGUGACCGGUGGUUCCAUGCCGUCUGUUUAACCAUGGACCCCAGGACACUUCAAGAGCUGAAGCAAAAGCAAUGGCUGUGUGUGCUGUGCAAAUAAAUAUUUUACCUGUUACCUGUCCUACAAGUGCCUCACGACCUUUAUA